Molecule: long non-coding RNA, 476 nt
Filed under: Malus domestica (apple)
Lineage: Eukaryota; Viridiplantae; Streptophyta; Magnoliopsida; Rosales; Rosaceae
Description: long non-coding RNA (MDOM_LNC015202)
Source: RNAcentral
GAGAAUUGUGGUUGCCCUCCUUUUGAUAAAACUCUUGUUGGCACCAUAAAUUGGUUUUGCUUCAUAUCUGUCUUGAUCAAAAGUGUGUGAAUCUUUUAAGAAUUAUGGUUGCCCUCCAUUGAUGAAGCUCUUGUGGGCACCAUAAAUUGAUUUUGCUUCACACUGUCGUGAUCAAGAGUGUGUGAAGCUUUCUACGAGUUGUAGUGUUUGCAUUGUUACAGAGGGGAAAUGUUUGAAGCAGAUGCACGAGGGCUGAAUAGCUUGAUCUUCGUAUGUCAUGCACUGAAGUUGUUGUUGGCUUGCAAUAAGGCUUUGUUGGUGACUAUAACUCUUGUUGGGCAUAUGCGCUCCCCUAGUUGAGUUGUCAAGCUUGAGGAUUUUUUAUUAUUUGUGAAUGCUAGAAGUUCACAUGUACAAGUUGUACCACUCGUCUUCUGGUAGGUGGAAUGAAUGGUGAGUUGCUUUCAUCACUUGGU